UAUAAAGAUGGUGUCUUCAUUGGCAAUGAGUCUUCAGGUCACAUGACCCUCCUCCAUGUCUCCAGCUCUGAUGAAGGCCUCUAUAAGUGCAGCAUCAGCGGUCAGGGAGAGUCUCCAUCCAGCAGGAUCUCUGUGGAAGAGAAACCAACCACUCAGCCUCCUCCUCUUCAUUAUGUUCUUUAUUCUAUUGUCUGCAUCAUUCCACUGGUUUUACUUCUGCUACUGGUUCUACUGGUGAGACGAGGAAUUCAUAGGAAAGAGACUCAACAUACAAGUGAAGAACAGGAAGUUGAAGAUGACAGAAUCUUCUACAGUGAUGUCAGAAUAAAACAGCAUCAUGAGAAAAAAACAUU
Molecule: long non-coding RNA, 353 nt
Organism: Poecilia latipinna (sailfin molly)
Lineage: Eukaryota; Metazoa; Chordata; Actinopteri; Cyprinodontiformes; Poeciliidae
Exons: 3
Source: RefSeq, a predicted model, not a curated record